Molecule: unclassified non-coding RNA, 326 nt
Filed under: Bombus terrestris (buff-tailed bumblebee)
Lineage: Eukaryota; Metazoa; Arthropoda; Insecta; Hymenoptera; Apidae
Description: misc RNA ENSBTSG00005033821.1
Source: RNAcentral
GCUAACGGGAUUCUGCCUUUUCUUCUUUUCGUCUCUCUCUUCCGAUUCUCGAGCGGCCGAGCAGUUGAGCAUCGACGGACGAAUAUAAACGAUCGACCAGACGAAGAGGAAACGGGUUUCCGUUAGGUUGUCGUGACAAGGAUCCAGGAUUUCUAUGGGAGCGAGAUGAGAAAGGGGAUAGGAGGAGGCGCAAGAAAAGGGAUCGAACAAAGAAACAGUGAAAACAUCUAGAUGGUCAGACAAGGUUGUGUAAGUGGUAAAGGUCUGCGUCCGUUCCGACACGCGCUAUAACCUCUCACUUUCGAAAGUUCUCGACAGUUUAGACC